GGUGGGGGGAGAGGAAGACUACCUCAAAAGGCCAUUAAUUUCAACAAUCCAGACACUUAAGGAUUUAGUAUUGAAUUAGCUUGAUAUUUUGAUGAUUAUUUAUGGCUAUUGGAAAUAAAAAAUUAACUAUUAAAUAUAAAAUAUGUAUGUAUCUAACAAAAACGACAACAACAACAAGCUUACCAAUGAAGUAUUAACAACAGCCAAGCCAUUGCAGAAGGAAAGAGGUGUGUAAGGGAAGGCACAGCAAGAGAUACCACUGCAGACAGACAAAGAACAAAAGGAGAUGGGAAGUUGAGAAGAAGUGAGGAAGAGUGCACAAUGGGAUCAUGUUAAGCCCCGGCAAUGGGAGUCCUAGCCUGGUUGGUGUGGAGGGGCCAGAUGAGUGAGUUAGGGGGAACCAGAUACAACAUUUCUGGAAGAAAUAAUGGUGAAACUUAAAAUGUGACAAAAGGAUCAAGUUAAAGCUUAAUAAGAUUCAGCAUAACUGUCAGUCCACUUUCUGCUGCUGUAACGAGACCGGAGACUGAAUAAAUCACAAAAGACCUACUCUGACUUAGUUUUCAAGACUGGGAAGUCCACGUGAAUAGUGUUUCCUGCUGCACAGUAACCCUGGUGAGCACAUGGCCUGUUGAGCAAGAGUGUGGCUAAGUGGGAUCCCUCUUAGAACGCUUCACACCCAGAGCCUUCUGUAAUCCUAAGGACCUCCUAGAGCUCCUGCCUCUGCCUCUGCCUAGCAUGAGAAUCUGAGGAUUCUUUCCUAUUGUGAAAUUUUAAGGGACCUAUCUAAACCAUAGCAUUAGCUCAAGCAGAAACAAAAGGACCUGUAGACAUUUAAAAAUGUUAAGCCUCAAGGGUAAGAUUUGAGAUGCUUUGCUUUGUCUUCUUCCUGAUUAAACACAGGACCCAUGGGCCGCCUGGUGCAGCUGGCUUUCUGGGUCUAUGAAGAAGUCUCUACCAGACCCAUGAAAGGAGCUUGUUUAGAGCAGAUUUUAAUUAUGCUUAAUUUUAGAUAAUUAAAAAAUGUUUCUCUGUACAUUUGUUAGAAACACUGUAGCAUUUCAACAACUUGGUUCUGCCUUUUCAACUGCUAAGUUUGUAAAUAAAUAUAUUUUCUCUGUGU
RNAcentral lists this long non-coding RNA (1123 nucleotides) under Rattus norvegicus (Norway rat). RNAcentral describes it as "long non-coding RNA NONRATT016233". Lineage: Eukaryota; Metazoa; Chordata; Mammalia; Rodentia; Muridae. The record is from RNAcentral.